GUGUCUAAUACUGGUCCAAGUAAUUUUUACUUGAAAUAUUCUGAAAGUAGAAAUAAUGUGUCAAAGGGCAUAAACUUGUGAACUAUGCAAACAUUUCCCAAUAGCAGUCACAUAAAAAUUCAUUAUAGGCUCAUGUCUGCAUUCCCUAUUUGUAAAUUUCCUAUUUAUAUCUUUCCUUAUUUUUACUGGACACAUUAUAUGUCCCUCACUUAUAUGUAAAUAAGAACAUGUCUAAAUAUAUCAAAUGCUCCUCAGUUUGACAUUUGUGUCUUUAGUGUGCACGUGGGGAGUGGAAGUACUGGCAUGUAUUUUCUUUACAAUAUACUAAUUUUAAAUAUUUAUGUAGAUAAAUUAUUUAUCAUUGUUAAAUCAAUUCUUGGUGUGCUGAUAAAAAUGUACUACUUAUCUGAGGAGUUAAAAAUCAUGUUUUCUUGUGAUAAAAGGUUAUUUUUAUUUUCUUUGUUUAGCAAUUAAUCCAGCAUAGAAUAACAAUUGAGUGCUAUGUAAAUUAAUUCAUAGAUACAUUAUUUGAAUACAGAAUCAAACCUUCCUGAUUUGCAAAAUCCUCAGAAUUAAUCCAAAAAUAACUAAAGGAUAUGUCUAGUAUGAUCACAGUGCAGCAUCACAUUCAAGGAAAUAUGACAAAAAAUAUUUCAUAUCAUUCUGUAAUGAUCAUAUAACAAUGAUCAUUACAGAAUGUUCAACUUGCACAUGUGUUAUCAAUUCAUAACCAUUCCACUGACCCUUUACCUUUUCCUCUCAUUAUUCAUAUUUCUCCAAAGCACCCAGCUAUACUUCGCUUACAUUUUUGGAAUGAGUUAUGCACUGGUUUGCUAAUAAUUAAUCAGAAAUUUGAGUGCAUAAUUUGUAUUAUUGCCC
This 879-nucleotide long non-coding RNA is filed under the name Marmota monax (woodchuck). Lineage: Eukaryota; Metazoa; Chordata; Mammalia; Rodentia; Sciuridae. The record is from RNAcentral.